GCCGCUGUGGUGGAAUAGGCAGACACAAGGGACUUAAAAUCCCUCGGUAGCAAUACCGUACCGGUUCGACCCCGGUCAGCGGCACCA
RNAcentral lists this transfer RNA (87 nucleotides) under Clostridia bacterium. RNAcentral describes it as "tRNA-Leu". It matches the Rfam family "tRNA". Rfam says of the family: Transfer RNA (tRNA) molecules are approximately 80 nucleotides in length. Lineage: Bacteria; Bacillati; Bacillota; Clostridia. The record is from RNAcentral.